GCGGGGUCGUAGCACAGAGGUAGUGCGCGUACACAACAUGGACGAGGACGCCGGUUCGAAUCCGGCCGCCCCGCCCC
RNAcentral lists this transfer RNA (77 nucleotides) under Streptomyces melanogenes. RNAcentral's name for it is "tRNA-Val". It matches the Rfam family "tRNA". Rfam says of the family: Transfer RNA (tRNA) molecules are approximately 80 nucleotides in length. Their secondary structure includes four short double-helical elements and three loops (D, anti-codon, and T loops). Further hydrogen bonds mediate the characteristic L-shaped molecular structure. tRNAs have two regions of fundamental functional importance: the anti-codon, which is responsible for specific mRNA codon recognition, and the 3' end, to which the tRNAs corresponding amino acid is attached (by aminoacyl-tRNA synthetases). tRNAs cope with the degeneracy of the genetic code in two manners: having more than one tRNA (with a specific anti-codon) for a particular amino acid; and 'wobble' base-pairing, i.e. permitting non-standard base-pairing at the 3rd anti-codon position. Lineage: Bacteria; Bacillati; Actinomycetota; Actinomycetes; Kitasatosporales; Streptomycetaceae. The record is from RNAcentral.